This 2221-nucleotide long non-coding RNA is filed under the name Junco hyemalis (dark-eyed junco). RNAcentral describes it as "lncRNA (ENSJHYG00000009986.1)". Lineage: Eukaryota; Metazoa; Chordata; Aves; Passeriformes; Passerellidae. The record is from RNAcentral.
AGGAAGGAGGUGAAAUGCAUGCUACAAGAGAGAGGCUGCUCAUGUCUGAAAGGAUGACUGAUAAACUACAGUGCUCUUCAGACUUCUUUGUGCAGCAAAAUAUGGGAGAGCAGAGCAAAGGAGUGAAUCCCUUCAUGGAAGAAGCACAACACAGCCAGACCAGCCCUGCUUCACUUUCUGAAUGAUUCAGACAGGAAAAGCAGAAACCUGUGGCUGCAGAGGAGUUUUAUCUUCCAUGGCAGUGGGAAGAGCUGGCACUUCCCAGGCUGGCUGGGGGAAUGGCAGUCUUUUGUCCUGGGCCAUUUCAGCUCCCUGGUCACACAGCUCACAUUUUCCUGGGCUUCCAGGGGCUCUUAGGAAAGGGGUACCCAAUGAGAAGGGGGGCAGCCACCCUGCUGUGCCUCCUAGGAGAAGGGCAAGGGCUGAUUUUGGGAAAGGACAGUCCACGGGGAAGAAAAUGAGGGAGGUGAAGGGAGACUUGCCAAGGAAAGAGUUAAGAGAGGCAGGGAGCAGCUGGGCUGUGUCUGUUUGCUGUAGCUGUGUGGGCUGCAGGGUAGAAAAGAACAACCUCCAGCCUGGAGGAGGCAGAUGAGGGAGUGUCUUCAAGAACGGUGGAUGUGGAUGAGGGAGGCAGGAGGUCUUCUCUCUGCUCCCAGGAGCUGUCACUGCAUGGGAACUCUCUGUGUCCCCAAAAGGUUUGGUGACAAAGCAGUGACGAGCCGGUGGGUUUGGCAACAGCUGCUUGGUGCUUCUGGCUCUUCUUGUGCAGAAGGCUCUGUCUGCUGCUGAGCUGGUCUUGGGCUGCCUCCUGCUGAAGAAGUGACUGGACCCUGGAGGAAGAUAACCACAUUAUCUCCUGACAGGAUGGCACAGGCCACACGUGUGACACAGAUGCUGUCCCCACCCAUGUGAGCUCCCUGUGAUGGAUGCCCACCCCAGAGCCCCAGCUCAGAGCUCUCCCACCACGCUGCCCAAGCUGUAGCACAGGUGUGGAUGACCUCUCAGGGCCAACCCAGCAGGGCUCUGCAGGCUACAGGGUCUCAGAUGCUGGCAGGCACACCUGGACAGCCCACGGUCACUGCCCAGGGCUGGGGCUACCCCUGCUUUGCAGUGCUGGGCUGGGGCUGCUGUGAAAGCCACUGCUGGGCAGAAAGCCACUGCUGGAAAGCCACAGGAGGGGAUUCAGGAGCUGCAGCGCUGGAGUUGAAGGUGGUGAAGUUUUGGCAGAGACAGGAUGGAGCUGGUGUGGCUGUACAUGAUGCUGAUCCACGUGCAGCACGUCGCUGCCGUGACCUGGCUGUUUCCAGCUCUGAUAACCCGUGUUAUGGGACUGCCUUCUCUCAGGCCUUCGUGGGCAGCCCUGAGAGGAGCCGCGGUGUCUCCUCCAGCCGAGCGCUCAUGGACCUGCACAACAAUGAGGCUGGGGGAAGGCCGUGGUGAUCACUGACGAGAGGCAAUUUCCCUCCAGCACUGCGUAGCACAGGACCAGCACUGCCUCAUCGUUCCGCAGGGCUAGAAGGCUGACAGAGAAAGGGAAGGAGGGAGUCAUUCCUUGCCACAAACUGAAGAGAUGCAUCUUUAGUUAGAAACUGAAAACAACCCCAAAACAAAGUAAGAAAAUCCCUUCCCAAAGAAACCUUGGGCUCCUGGCUAAACUGCACAGAGGAGUGGGGCUCUCUGCAGGGUCUGCACGUGCCUGUGUGACACAGAGGCUGCAGGGGGGUUGCUGUGCAUUUGAGGGCAUGUGAGAGGCAUUGGAUGAGGGGCACAGUUCAAAGAGCUUUCCCAGGGCCCCUGCAGCAGCUGCUGCGUAAUUUCAUCCAUCUGAGUGCACAGUGAGGAGAUGUUUGUUAGAUGUCUGCUGAGUGUUGAACGUUGGGCAGCCCCACUUGGGUCUGGGGAUGUCACAUAUUAAGCUUCCCUCCCAAGUACUUGACAGAAAGGGGGAAAACCUUGUUAACCAUGAAUUUACUGUUUAUCCAAACUGACAUGGGUAGCUAAAAGUAGAGAAUGUAAGGACAAUGGGAUCAGAGCAAUGAGAAUAUUUGGCAUCUCUUAGGAGCAAUGGAAUUUGUAAACAUGGUACAGAACUGUUAGCAGACAGGGAUGGUUGGUUUCAAUCAUCAUCAAUGAUGCAGAAGAGGUAAACAUGCUCAUUAGAUAUUUGCCUCUUGUGUCUGGAGACAAAGCCAGUGAUAAAUAAACAAACUUUGAUCUGACA